RNAcentral lists this unclassified non-coding RNA (240 nucleotides) under soil metagenome. RNAcentral describes it as "partial contains 5.8S ribosomal RNA, internal transcribed spacer 2, and large subunit ribosomal RNA". The record is from RNAcentral.
AACUGAUACUACCUGCGGGAACCUGCGGAGGGAUCAUUAACACAAAAUGAUACAAACCUUUUUGGUUGGAAGAGGGGAUGAAAAAUCCUCUCGCUCCAACCAAAUUACCACAAUGGAAAAUGUUAAAGUCCAUUAACAUUUAUUUUAAUGUUUUUGGAUUUUAUUCAUCUUCAUUAAAAACCCUAUCUAAAACCAUUAGAAUCUGUUAUGAUUAUAUCUAAAAACAUAUAAUCUAAAAAA